GCACAGAUGGCCGAGAGGUCUAAGGCGACAAGUUUAAGAUUGUAUUCUACCUUGUUGGGGAAACCCGCGCGAGUUCGAACCUCGCUCUGUGCA
Non-coding RNA from Nemania abortiva, 93 nucleotides. The record is from the annotation of a GenBank genome assembly. NCBI's taxonomy places the organism in Eukaryota, Fungi, Ascomycota, Sordariomycetes, Xylariales, Xylariaceae.